RNAcentral lists this signal recognition particle RNA (300 nucleotides) under Callithrix jacchus (white-tufted-ear marmoset). Its description in RNAcentral is "Metazoan signal recognition particle RNA (ENSCJAG00000076279.1)". It matches the Rfam family "Metazoan signal recognition particle RNA". Rfam says of the family: The signal recognition particle (SRP) is a universally conserved ribonucleoprotein. It is involved in the co-translational targeting of proteins to membranes. The record is from Rfam by way of RNAcentral. Lineage: Eukaryota; Metazoa; Chordata; Mammalia; Primates; Cebidae.
GUCGGACGCAGUGGCAUGUGCCUAUAGUCCCAGCUACUUGGGAGGCUGAGGUGGGAGGAUCACUUGAGCCCAGGAGUUCUGGGCCAUAAUGCGCUAUGCCAAUCGGGUGUCCGCACUAAGUUCAGCAUCAAUAUGGCAACCUCCCAGGAGCAGGGGACCACCAGGUUGCCUAAGGAGGGGUGAACCGGCCCACGUCGGAAAUGGAGCAGGUCAAAACUCCUGUGCUGAUCAGUAGUGGGAUAGCGCCUGUGAAUAGCCACUGCACUUCAGCCUGGGCAACAUAGCGAGACCCCGUCUCUA